Molecule: ribosomal RNA, 254 nt
Filed under: uncultured bacterium
Lineage: Bacteria
Description: partial 16S ribosomal RNA
Rfam family: Bacterial small subunit ribosomal RNA
Source: RNAcentral
UACGUAGGCAGCGAGCGUUGUUCGGAAUUACUGGGCGUAAAGAGUGUGUAGGCGGUGCUCUAAGUUCGGUGUGAAAUCUCCUGGCUCAACUGGGAGGGUGCGCCGGAAACUGGAAUGCUUGAGCGUGGGAGAGGAAAGCGGAAUUCCCGGUGUAGAGGUGAAAUUCGUAGAUAUCGGGAGGAACACCAGUGGCGAAGGCGGCGAUCUGGGAAGAUACUGACGCUGAGGUGCGAAAGCGUGGGGAGCAAACAGGG